GACGAAUGCUGGCGGCGUGCUUAACACAUGCAAGUCGAACGGAAAGGCCCUGCUUGCCGGGUACUCGAGUGGCGAACGGGUGAGUAACACGUGGGUGAUCUGCCCUGCACUUCGGGAUAAGCCUGGGAAACUGGGUCUAAUACCGGAUAGGAGCCAUUUUUAGUGUGAUGGUUGGAAAGUUUUUUCGGUGUAGGAUGAGCUCGCGGCCUAUCAGCUUGUUGGUGGGGUAAUGGCCUACCAAGGCGGCGACGGGUAGCCGGCCUGAGAGGGUGGACGGCCACAUUGGGACUGAGAGACGGCCCAGACGCCGACGGGAGGCAGCAGGGGGGAAUAUUGCUCAAUGGGCGCAAGCCGGAUGCAGCGACGCCGCGUGGGGGAAGACGGCCUUCGGGUUGUAAACGCCUUUCGCUAGGGACGAAGCUUUUUGUGACGGUACCUAGAGAAGAAGCACCGGCUAACUACGUG
This 465-nucleotide ribosomal RNA is filed under the name uncultured bacterium. Its description in RNAcentral is "partial 16S ribosomal RNA". It matches the Rfam family "Bacterial small subunit ribosomal RNA", at positions 28 to 507 of the family's 1533-position model. The record is from RNAcentral.